Molecule: long non-coding RNA, 413 nt
Filed under: Mytilus galloprovincialis (Mediterranean mussel)
Lineage: Eukaryota; Metazoa; Mollusca; Bivalvia; Mytilida; Mytilidae
Source: RNAcentral
GAGUAGUCAGGUCCAGACCAUGUGUUGUGCGUUGUUAUAUUUAUUGUCUAUUUACUGUGAGUAGUCAGGUCCAGACCAUGUGUUGUGCGUUGUUAUAUUUAUUGUCUAUUUACUGUAAGUAGUCAGGUCCAGACCAUGUGUUGUCAGUUGUUAUAUUUGUUUGUCUAAUUACUCUGAGUAGUCAGGUCCAGACCAUGUGUUGUUAGUUGUUAUAUUUGUUUGUCUAUUUACUCUGAGUAGUCAGGUCCAGACCAUGUGUUGUGUGUUGUUAUAUUUGUUUGUCUAUUUACUCUGAGUAGUCAGGUCCAGACCAUGUGUUGUGUUGUUAUAUUUGUUUGUCUAUUUACUCUGAGUAGUCAGGUCCAGACCAUGUGUUGUGUUGUUAUAUUUGUUUGUCUAUUUACUCUGAGUAG